This 433-nucleotide ribosomal RNA is filed under the name uncultured bacterium. RNAcentral describes it as "partial 16S ribosomal RNA". It matches the Rfam family "Bacterial small subunit ribosomal RNA", at positions 29 to 507 of the family's 1533-position model. The record is from RNAcentral.
AGCGAACGCUGGCGGCAGGCUUAACACAUGCGAGUCGAGCGGGCACUUCGGUGUCAGCGGCAGACGGGUGAGUAACACGUGGGAACGUACCCUUCAGUUCGGAAUAACGCUGGGAAACUAGCGCUAAUACCGGAUACGCCCUAAUGGGGAAAGGUUUACUGCCGAAGGAUCGGCCCGCGUCAGAUUAGCUAGUUGGUUGGGUAAUGGCCUACCAAGGCGACGAUCAGUAGCUGGUCUGAGAGGAUGAUCAGCCACACUGGGACUGGGACACGGCCCAGACUCUUACGGGAGGCAGCAGUGGGGAAUAUUGGACGAUGGGCGCAAGCCUGAGCCAGCCAGGCCGCGUGAGUGAGGAAGGCCUUAGGAUUGUAAAGCUCUGUUGUCCGGGACGAUAAUGACGGUACCGGAAGAAUAAGCCACGGCUAACUUCGUG